CUCCAGAUGUUGCUGAACUACAACUCCCAUGAUUCUCAGCUGAUCUGUUUCAUUCAUACAAUCAUGGGAGUUGUAGUUCAGCAACAUCUGGAG
RNAcentral lists this microRNA precursor (93 nucleotides) under Pelobates cultripes (western spadefoot toad). Lineage: Eukaryota; Metazoa; Chordata; Amphibia; Anura; Pelobatidae. The record is from RNAcentral.